AGUUCUGAAAAGCUACCAGACUCAGUGAGAGGCAAGGACUUUUCAUCUUUAGGGCAUUCUGACCACGUCCUGCUUCAGAGAGAUUGUUCCCGGCGUCUCAGUGCUAUGGGGAGCAGGUUCCUCCUGGUCCUGCUCUCAGGUCUCACUGUCUUACUGGCUCUGCCAGGAUCAGAAGCCAAGAAUUCUGGAGCUUCCUGUCCUCCAUGCCCUAAAUAUGCCAGCUGCCACAACAGCACCCACUGUACUUGUGAAGAUGGCUUUCGGGCCAGGUCUGGCAGGACAUACUUUCAUGAUUCCUCUGAGAAGUGUGAAGAUAUUAAUGAAUGUGAAACCGGGCUGGCAAAGUGCAAGUAUAAAGCAUAUUGUAGGAAUAAAGUUGGAGGUUACAUCUGUAGCUGUUUGGUAAAAUAUACUUUAUUCAACUUUCUGGCUGGUAUUAUAGAUUAUGAUCAUCCGGAUUGUUACGAGAACAAUAGUCAAGGGACGACACAGUCAAACGUGGAUAUUUGGGUGAGUGGGGUGAAGCCUGGAUUUGGGAAACAGCUGGUACGUAUAACUAUGCCAUUUUCCUACCCAAACAUUAACAUGUCUUCCUGUGAUUUUUAGGGUAGGGUAGUUCUAUCCAGGGGUAAUUUUGUCCUCUGUCCCAAGGUCAUCUGUCAAUGUCUGGGGACACUUUUGGUUGUCAUACCUUGGGGGUGAUGUGUGUGACUGGCAUCUGGUGGAUGGAGACCAGGGAUACAGCUCAACAUCCUACAGUGCCCAGGACAGCCUCCCACAAUCAAGAAGUGCCUAGUGCCACAUGUCCAUAGAGAUAGAGAAAUACAAGCGUAGGGGGAAAGUGCCUCAGCUGGCAUUCAAAGACCUACAUCAAGCACCUAGAUUCUCAAUGCCACACGCACCUUGUAGCACCUUAAUAAAUAUCGUUGCCUUCUGGGCUCCCCACUCCAACACUUGUGCAUAUUCCCUAUUUCUUACAUUUCAGUAAGAGUCAAUCUAAUUAGCUUAAUUUUUUUGGAAGGAAAAUCUGAGAAGAAAUGGAAGCAGAGAGGACUUUGCAAGAAGGGCUACUCAACUAAUUCAAAGCGUGGAGUUGAGCAUCUGGAAUGCGAGUUUUGCUUCUCCAGGAAAGGGUCAAAUUUCUGAAUUUGAUAUAGUCUAUGAAACCAAGAGGUGCAAUGAGACAAGGGAGAAUGCUUUUCUGGAAGCUGGAAAUAACACCAUGGAUAUCAACUGUGCUGAUGCUUUAAAAGGAAACCUAAGAGAGAGCACUGCAGUUGCCCUAUCACUUAUCAAUCUCUUGGGGAUAUUCUGAAUGCAUCCUUUUUUAGUAAACGAAAAGGGAUGCAGGAAGUAAAACUGAACUCUUACGUUGUGAGCGGCACCGUCGGUUUGAAGGAAAAAAUUUCCCUCUCUGAACCUGUGUUCCUGACUUUUCGCCAUAAUCAGCCUGGUGACAAGAGAACAAAACAUAUCUGUGUCUACUGGGAGGGAUCAGAGGGAGGCCGCUGGUCCACGGAGGGCUGCUCUCAUGUGCACAGCAACGGUUCUUACACCAAAUGCAAGUGCUUCCAUCUGUCCAGCUUUGCCGUCCUCGUGGCUCUUGCCCCCAAGGAGGACCCUGUGCUGACCGUGAUCACCCAGGUGGGGCUGACCAUCUCUCUGCUGUGCCUCUUCCUGGCCAUCCUCACCUUCCUCCUGUGCCGGCCCAUCCAGAACACCAGCACCUCCCUCCAUCUAGAGCUCUCCCUCUGCCUCUUCCUGGCCCACCUCCUGUUCCUGACGGGCAUCAACAGAACUGAGCCUGAGGUGCUGUGCUCCAUCAUUGCAGGGCUGCUGCACUUCCUCUACCUGGCUUGCUUCACCUGGAUGCUCCUGGAAGGGCUGCACCUCUUCCUCACCGUCAGGAACCUCAAGGUGGCCAACUACACCAGCACGGGCAGAUUCAAGAAGAGGUUCAUGUACCCUGUAGGCUACGGGAUCCCAGCUGUGAUUAUUGCUGUGUCAGCAAUAGUUGGACCCCAGAAUUAUGGAACAUUUACUCACUGUUGGCUCAAGCUUGAUAAAGGAUUCAUCUGGAGCUUCAUGGGGCCAGUAGCAGUCAUUAUCUUGAUAAACCUGGUGUUCUACUUCCAAGUUCUGUGGAUUUUGAGAAGCAAACUUUCCUCCCUCAAUAAAGAAGUUUCCACCAUUCAGGACACCAGAGUCAUGACAUUUAAAGCCAUUUCUCAGCUAUUUAUCCUGGGCUGUUCUUGGGGCCUUGGUUUUUUUAUGGUUGAAGAAGUAGGGAAGACGAUUGGAUCAAUCAUUGCAUACUCAUUCACCAUCAUCAACACCCUUCAGGGAGUGUUGCUCUUUGUGGUACACUGUCUCCUUAAUCGCCAGGUUCGAAUGGAAUAUAAAAAGUGGUUUAGUGGGAUGCGGAAAGGGGUAGAAACUGAAAGCACUGAGAUGUCUCGCUCUACUACCCAAACCAAAACGGAAGAAGUGGGGAAGUCCUCAGAAAUCUUUCAUAAAGGAGGCACUGCAUCAUCAUCUGCAGAGUCAACCAAGCAACCGCAGCCACAGGUUCAUCUCGUCUCUGCUGCUUGGCUAAAGAUGAACUGACCUGGCAAGUGCCAUGGCAAUGACCCGGAAGUUACCGCUCCUUUCCGUUUGUCUACAGCGCCCCUGUGGUCACACAUAGAUUGGACAAAUGCCACUAUUUCUAGCUUUCCUGUGAAAAGUCUAGGCU
Molecule: long non-coding RNA, 2734 nt
Organism: Homo sapiens (human)
Lineage: Eukaryota; Metazoa; Chordata; Mammalia; Primates; Hominidae
Source: Ensembl